This 317-nucleotide unclassified non-coding RNA is filed under the name fungal sp. RNAcentral describes it as "partial internal transcribed spacer region". The stretch from base 1 to 46 matches the Rfam family "Eukaryotic small subunit ribosomal RNA", at positions 1786 to 1831 of the family's 1831-position model. Lineage: Eukaryota; Fungi. The record is from RNAcentral.
AAGUCGUAACAAGGUUUCCGUAGGUGAACCUGCGGAAGGAUCAUUAACACGUAUCCAAACGUUAACCCCCUGUGAACCUUCAAUGUGCUCGUACACUUUGUCAAAGCGAGGCAAUCCCUGGUAAAUCAUCGCCGAACAGUUUUGAUUCUGGGACUUCCUCAAAGAGUGUGCCGAUCGUUGGAGGCCGACACGGCCGACGACCGGGUCACCGGGCGCAAGCCCCUUUAUCACCACUUGAUGCAUGACAGACGCGCCAGCGCUUAAUUGUGCGGCGACCAAAAACCGAACAACUGUUAACAAUGGAUAUCUUGGUUCUC